This 456-nucleotide ribosomal RNA is filed under the name Triticum aestivum (bread wheat). Its description in RNAcentral is "partial small subunit ribosomal RNA". Lineage: Eukaryota; Viridiplantae; Streptophyta; Magnoliopsida; Poales; Poaceae. The record is from RNAcentral.
AUGUGCACGUCAGGGCUGUGGCCGGCCUUUCCCUUCCGUGCAUCGGCGACCACUUCGCUAGUUCACUGCAGCGUGGGGAGUGGAUCUCCGGCGAGCGCGAGACGAGCUCCGAUGGCGAGCGGAGGCGGAUACGCCUGGGCCCUCGCGGCGGGCCUCAACGCCGCGCUCGCCGCCAUCUCCGCCAAGUUCUUCGCUCCCACGUUGCUGAAAUACGGCAUGGUGAUACUUUUCAACGUGACAAUGUGGGGGUGCUACGUGAACAGCCUCAAAGCUUUGUCGUCCCUCCAGGCAACGGUCACCAACUUCGCCGCCAACUUCAUCUCGUCAGGUCUUGCAGGGUAUUUCCUGUUUCAGGAGCCUCUGCCUUCCAAGUGGUUUGCAGGUGCCAGUCUGAUCAUUCUUGGUGUGUUCAUCCUCAGCAAAUCAAGCAUUGAGGAGAAAGUGAACUCUGAUUGA